UACAGAGGGUGCAAGCGUUGUUCGGAAUUACUGGGCGUAAAGCGCGUGUAGGUGGCGAUGUAAGUCGGGUGUGAAAUCCCUCAGCUUAACUGAGGAAGUGCACUCGAUACUGUGUCGCUUGAGUGUUGGAGGGGAUGGCGGAAUUCCCGGUGUAGAGGUGAAAUUCGUAGAUAUCGGGAGGAACACCUGUGGCGAAGGCGGCCAUCUGGACAACUACUGACACUGAGACGCGAAAGCGUGGGGAGCAAACAGG
Molecule: ribosomal RNA, 253 nt
Filed under: uncultured bacterium
Lineage: Bacteria
Description: partial 16S ribosomal RNA
Rfam family: Bacterial small subunit ribosomal RNA
Source: RNAcentral